CCGGCGACCGGCGCACGGGUGAGUAACACGUAUGCAACCUGCCCUCUUCAGGGGGACAACCUUCCGAAAGGGAGGCUAAUCCCGCGUAUAUCGGUUUCGGGCAUCCGAGAUCGAGGAAAGAUUCAUCGGAAGAGGAUGGGCAUGCGGCGCAUUAGGCAGUAGGCGGGGUAACGGCCCACCUAACCGACGAUGCGUAGGGGUUCUGAGAGGAAGGUCCCCCACACUGGUACUGAGACACGGACCAGACUCCUACGGGAGGCAGCAG
Molecule: ribosomal RNA, 265 nt
Filed under: uncultured bacterium
Lineage: Bacteria
Description: partial 16S ribosomal RNA
Rfam family: Bacterial small subunit ribosomal RNA
Source: RNAcentral